CUUUCACCUCCACCCCACACACAGUGAAGAGAGGAAGACCAGUGGAUAAUAUGUUUUUGGCAGUAAGGAUGCUGUCCAUUUAAAACCUGAAACACUUUUCAACUCUCUAACAGUUAACAAAUACAGAAGGAUGCAGCCUUACCCACACUAUAUAGUAUGAGGUGUUACUUUUUGUAUGCUCUUGUUUUUCAGAUGGAGGUUCUGACCCCUGCGCUGAGUUAGAGAUAAGGAGAACUCACUGAUGAUGAGACCCCCAGGCUUCCACAGAAGAACAAAGUCAAACAUGAGAGAGCAAGAGAGCAUGGAGUGAGGUAGAGAGAACUGCGAUGUAGAGUGCCUGGA
Micropterus salmoides (largemouth bass) is the source of this 342-nucleotide long non-coding RNA. RefSeq lists it as uncharacterized. The record is from RefSeq and is a predicted model, not a curated record. NCBI's taxonomy places the organism in Eukaryota, Metazoa, Chordata, Actinopteri, Centrarchiformes, Centrarchidae. The transcript has 2 exons.